RNAcentral lists this ribosomal RNA (254 nucleotides) under uncultured bacterium. Its description in RNAcentral is "partial 16S ribosomal RNA". It matches the Rfam family "Bacterial small subunit ribosomal RNA", at positions 524 to 776 of the family's 1533-position model. The record is from RNAcentral.
UACGGAGGGAGCUAGCGUUGUUCGGAAUUACUGGGCGUAAAGCGCACGUAGGCGGUUAUUCAAGUCAGAGGUGAAAGCCCGGGGCUCAACCCCGGAACUGCCUUUGAAACUAGAUGACUAGAAUCUUGGAGAGGUCAGUGGAAUUCCGAGUGUAGAGGUGAAAUUCGUAGAUAUUCGGAAGAACACCAGUGGCGAAGGCGACUGACUGGACAAGUAUUGACGCUGAGGUGACGAAAGCGUGGGGAGCAAACAGG